GCGUUCGACCAAUCACGGAGCAGCUAGCGAACGCGAACCGCGGCAUUACUCGGAGCUUCUCGGCUCCCCUCGGCUCCCCUCGGUUAAGUGUCUCCCCUCUAUCAUCGUAUCGUAGCUCUCGCUCGUUCGCGGUGUUCACUGUGCCGAUGGUUCAGUCACACUUCCGCCACCGACCGGGUGCGAAUGUUGUUGUUCGUGCCUCGGCUCCGGUUCGAACGUACCUUUCUUAUUUUAUUUUUCAAUAUAAAUUAAAGAAAAACGUAUCGCACCUAAUCGUUGUGUAUUUCGGAUUUCUUGAAUUUUUAGUUUGUUUUUUUUCUCCACACAUUAUCCCGUCGCUACUCCGGCAUCCCCUCCCAACCCCCAAUCUCCUUUAUCCUUUUAUACGUAUCUUUUUAAGUGAGUGAAGUGUCAUCAACGAACAUUUUGUGAAAUAUAAAGGAAUACGUACGGGAGAUAUGUUGUUAAUUGACGCACAUAGUCGAGAAAUCUUAUAAAACUAAAUAGAAUCACAAUUUGCAAUUGGAUAGCUCGCGUUAAAACUGUUGAUUCUUAUGAUCACGUCCGAUAAUAUAAAGUAAAAAUGUACCUGUAGUAACUGUGGAGUGACAAAAAAAAAAAAAAGAAAUUCCUCCUUGAAAUCGUACAAUUAAUUUAUUAUAAAGCGUAUAUAUAAAAAUGUGUAAGUUAACGUGAACGACAAAAGAAAAGAAAGGAAAAUAACAA
Vespa mandarinia (Asian giant hornet) is the source of this 726-nucleotide long non-coding RNA. The record is from RefSeq and is a predicted model, not a curated record. Lineage: Eukaryota; Metazoa; Arthropoda; Insecta; Hymenoptera; Vespidae.